UUAAUACAUUUUAUAGUUUCUUGAAUCUUUAUUUAUUUCUUUUACUUUUAUAUUUAGAUACAAUGUAGUUAUCGAGAUAAGCUUCUUUACAUUCUUGCAAUUUUGAAGUUGGAUCUUGUUCAAAAGAAAGUCUUUAUAUUUACAAAUACAAUUGACACAAGUUUUAGACUAAAACUUUGAGCAAGUAUUAUUUUUCCCAUUAAAUUAAUCUUUUUUUACCUAUUAUAGAUUUUAAUAAAACUUUUUAUAUAUUUUUUGACAGUUUGGUAUAAAAUCUGCUGUGUUAAAUGCUGAAUUGCCUGUGAAUUGACGUCUACAUAUUCUUGAGGGUUUUGGUUCUUAAAUGAAUAAAGAAAACAAAUUUCCUGGGCGGGAAAGAAGCAGACAUACUUGCUGGUAAGAUGAGUAUGGUACAGUUGCAAGGGCGGGACCAGUUGCUGACAGCACAAAAUGAAAUGCUCAAGGUACUCUACUCUACUGCUUCAUCAUAUAUGUCUGCAAGUUUGGUUGGCAGUUUCCCUUAUUACAGAUGCGUUGGCUGCAUCUGGUCAGGCGUUGAUUGCUAGUUCGAUUUCAAAAGGGAAUUAUAGAUCUGUGAAGGAUAUUACAUACUUCGUGUUGACUGUAAUGUUAAUUAAUAAUUAUUUUGUUUAUAUAAUAUAUAAAGAUGUUUUUAUUUUAUAAAAGUUAAUUAAUGUUUUAUUAUUUUCUUUAGAUUGGUUUUGUGAUGGGUGUUACUUUGGCUGCAAUAUUGGGAGUUUCAUUUGGUUCCAUAGUCACACUGUUCACUAAGGACAUUGGAGUAUUGGCGAUUGCUAGAACCGGGGUUUUGUUUGUGAGUGCUAGUCAGCCUUUGAAUGCUUUUGCUUUUAUUGUUGAUGGUUUGCAUUAUGGAGUUUCAGACUUCCCGUAUGCUGCUUAUUCCAUGGUAUGCUUUUUUUUAGACAUGAAUAUAAAAUUACAUAUUUGCCCUUGGAUUAAUAUGUUUUCACUGUAGAUGCUUGUUGGGAUUUUAUCGUCUGUAAUUGCAACUUGUUAUGAGAUGGUAUUACCACAUUUUUCAUACUAAUACUAAUUACUAAGGCAGAUUUCAUUUGAAGUGUCUCUUGGAUUAAUAAUAGCACAAUGUUUAUCAGGCCAAAACCAUUGCAUUUUGCAAUAGUUGAUGAACUUGAUUAUGUCCUAAUUGAUGAGGGAAGAAACACAUUGCUGAUAAGGGGUGAGGCUAGCAAGGAUGCUGCACGUAACACAGUUGCUGCUAAAGUAGCUGAGCUUCUCAUGCGUGGCCUCGUAUUUUACUUUUUUGCCCUUCUUUUUCCUUUUUGAUGUCUUGUUAUCCAUCUCCAUUGUAUGCGUAUCUCAUUGUUUGUUCCACUACACAUCAUGUAAAUUUAUAUAUUGUAACAAAUAGAAUUGUAAGACAUUAAAUUUUAUGAAAUGGAUUAUAUUUUUUGUA
This is a non-coding RNA of Lactuca sativa (garden lettuce), 1456 nucleotides long. The record is from RefSeq and is a predicted model, not a curated record. NCBI's taxonomy places the organism in Eukaryota, Viridiplantae, Streptophyta, Magnoliopsida, Asterales, Asteraceae.